Molecule: ribosomal RNA, 253 nt
Filed under: uncultured bacterium
Lineage: Bacteria
Description: partial 16S ribosomal RNA
Rfam family: Bacterial small subunit ribosomal RNA
Source: RNAcentral
UACGAAGGGGGCUAGCGUUGCUCGGAAUCACUAGGCGUAAAGCGCACGUAGGCGGCUUUUUAAGUCAGAGGUGAAAUCCUGGAGCUCAACUCCAGAACUGCCUUUGAUACUGGAGAGCUUGAGUCCGGGAGAGGUGAGUGGAACUGCGAGUGUAGAGGUGAAAUUCGUAGAUAUUCGCAAGAACACCAGUGGCGAAGGCGGCUCACUGGCCCGGUACUGACGCUGAGGUGCGAAAGCGUGGGGAGCAAACAGG